Molecule: ribosomal RNA, 1343 nt
Filed under: uncultured bacterium
Lineage: Bacteria
Description: 16S ribosomal RNA
Rfam family: Bacterial small subunit ribosomal RNA
Source: RNAcentral
GACGAACGCUGGCGGCGUGCUUAACACAUGCAAGUCGAACGGAAAGGCCCUGCUUUUGUGGGGUGCUCGAGUGGCGAACGGGUGAGUAACACGUGAGUAACCUGCCCUUGACUUUGGGAUAACUUCAGGAAACUGGGGCUAAUACCGGAUAGGAGCUCCUGCUGCAUGGUGGGGGUUGGAAAGUUUCGGCGGUUGGGGAUGGACUCGCGGCUUAUCAGCUUGUUGGUGGGGUAGUGGCUUACCAAGGCUUUGACGGGUAGCCGGCCUGAGAGGGUGACCGGCCACAUUGGGACUGAGAUACGGCCCAGACUCCUACGGGAGGCAGCAGUGGGGAAUAUUGCACAAUGGGCGGAAGCCUGAUGCAGCAACGCCGCGUGCGGGAUGACGGCCUUCGGGUUGUAAACCGCUUUCGCCUGUGACGAAGCGUGAGUGACGGUAAUGGGUAAAGAAGCACCGGCUAACUACGUGCCAGCAGCCGCGGUGAUACGUAGGGUGCGAGCGUUGUCCGGAUUUAUUGGGCGUAAAGGGCUCGUAGGUGGUUGAUCGCGUCGGAAGUGUAAUCUUGGGGCUUAACCCUGAGCGUGCUUUCGAUACGGGUUGACUUGAGGAAGGUAGGGGAGAAUGGAAUUCCUGGUGGAGCGGUGGAAUGCGCAGAUAUCAGGAGGAACACCAGUGGCGAAGGCGGUUCUCUGGGCCUUUCCUGACGCUGAGGAGCGAAAGCGUGGGGAGCGAACAGGCUUAGAUACCCUGGUAGUCCACGCUGUAAACGGUGGGUACUAGGUGUGGGGUCCAUUCCACGGGUUCCGUGCCGUAGCUAACGCUUUAAGUACCCCGCCUGGGGAGUACGGCCGCAAGGCUAAAACUCAAAGGAAUUGACGGGGCCCCGCACAAGCGGCGGAGCAUGCGGAUUAAUUCGAUGCAACGCGUAGAACCUUGCCUGGGUUUGACAUGGAUCGGGAGCGCUCAGAGAUGGGUGUGCCUCUUUUGGGGUCGGUUCACAGGUGGUGCAUGGCUGUCGUCAGCUCGUGUCGUGAGAUGUUGGGUUAAGUCCCGCAACGAGCGCAACCCUUGUUCACUGUUGCCAGCACGUUAUGGUGGGGACUCAGUGGAGACCGCCGGGGUCAACUCGGAGGAAGGUGGGGAUGACGUCAAGUCAUCAUGCCCCUUAUGUCCAGGGCUUCACGCAUGCUACAAUGGCUGGUACAGAGAGUGGCGAGCCUGUGAGGGUGAGCGAAUCUCGGAAAGCCGGUCUCAGUUCGGAUUGGGGUCUGCAACUCGACCUCAUGAAGUCGGAGUCGCUAGUAAUCGCAGAUCAGCAACGCUGCGGUGAAUACGUUCCCGGG